GACGGGGGAUGCAAGCGUUAUCCGGAAUCACUGGGCGUAAAGCGUCUGUAGGUGGUGAUGCAAGUCACUGGUGCAAAACUCUGGCUCAACCGGAGGAAAGCCAGUGAAACUGCAUGACUAGAGUGUGGGAGAGGUAGAAGGAAUUCCCUGAGUAGCGAUGAAAUGCGUAGAUACAGGGAAGAACACCGGAGGCGAAAGCGUUCUACUGGAACACAACUGACACUGAGAGACGAAAGCUAGUGGAGCUAAUGGG
This 253-nucleotide ribosomal RNA is filed under the name uncultured bacterium. RNAcentral describes it as "partial 16S ribosomal RNA". It matches the Rfam family "Bacterial small subunit ribosomal RNA", at positions 524 to 776 of the family's 1533-position model. The record is from RNAcentral.